This 337-nucleotide unclassified non-coding RNA is filed under the name soil metagenome. RNAcentral describes it as "partial contains 5.8S ribosomal RNA, internal transcribed spacer 2, and large subunit ribosomal RNA". The stretch from base 1 to 120 matches the Rfam family "5.8S ribosomal RNA", at positions 35 to 154 of the family's 154-position model. The record is from RNAcentral.
GAUGAAGAACGUAGCGAAAUGUGAUACGUAGUGUGAAUUGCAGAAUUCAGUGAAUCAUCGAAUCUUUGAACGCACAUUGCACCUCUCGGUAUUCCGGGAGGUAUGCCUGUUCGAGCGUCAUUUGUACCCUCAAGCUCUGCUUGGUGUUGGGUGUUUGUUCCGCCUCUGUGUGUGAACUCGCCUCAAAACAAUUGGCAGCCGGCAAAAGCCUGGGAGCGCAGCACAAUUGUUGCUUUCAGACUGCUUGUCGAGCGUCCAGCAAGCCUAUUAUUCUUGCGUUUGACCUCGGAUCAGGUAGGGAUACCCGCUGAACUUAAGCAUAUCAAUAAGCGGAGGA